GACGAACGCUGGCGGCGUGCCUAAUACAUGCAAGUUGAGCGCUGAAGGUUGGUCCUUGUACCAACUGGAUGAGCAGCGAACGGGUGAGUAACGCGUGGGGAAUCUGCCUUUGAGCGGGGGACAACAUUUGGAAACGAAUGCUAAUACCGCAUAAAAACUUUAAACACAAGUUUUAAGUUUGAAAGAUGCAAUUGCAUCACUCAAAGAUGAUCCCGCGUUGUAUUAGCUAGUUGGUGAGGUAAAGGCUCACCAAGGCGAUGAUACAUAGCCGACCUGAGAGGGUGAUCCGCCACAUUGGGACUGAGACACGGCCCAAACUCCUACGGGAGGCAGCAGUAGGGGAGCUUCGGCAAUGGACGAAAGGCUGACCGAGCAACGCCGCGUGAGUGAAGAAGGUUUUCGGAUCGUAAAACUCUGUUGGUAGAGAAGAACGUUGGUGAGAGUGGAAAGCUCAUCAAGUGACGGUAACUACCCAGAAAGGGACGGCUAACUACGUG
Molecule: ribosomal RNA, 497 nt
Filed under: uncultured bacterium
Lineage: Bacteria
Description: partial 16S ribosomal RNA
Rfam family: Bacterial small subunit ribosomal RNA
Source: RNAcentral